Molecule: non-coding RNA, 57 nt
Filed under: unclassified sequences
Description: S15-Flavobacteria ribosomal protein leader
Rfam family: S15-Flavobacteria ribosomal protein leader
Source: RNAcentral
UAUAUUUGCGCCGCUGAUAUCAGCAUACAUAAUAAUCAUUUAAAUAAUAUUGGAAUG